This 253-nucleotide ribosomal RNA is filed under the name uncultured bacterium. RNAcentral's name for it is "partial 16S ribosomal RNA". It matches the Rfam family "Bacterial small subunit ribosomal RNA", at positions 524 to 776 of the family's 1533-position model. The record is from RNAcentral.
UACGUAGGUGGCAAGCGUUGUUCGGAAUUAUUGGGCGUAAAGGGCGCGUAGGCGGCUUGUUAAGUCAGCUGUGAAAGCCCGGGGCUCAACCCCGGAAAUUCGGCUGAUACUGGCAGGCUAGAGUACGGAAGAGGUAGCUGGAAUUCCCGGCGUAGCGGUGAAAUGCGUAGAGAUGGGGAGGAACACCUGAGGCGAAGGCGGGCUACUGGGCCGAUACUGACGCUGAGGCGCGAAAGCGAGGGGAGCGAACGGG